CGCUACUGCACUUACUAGCUACUAUCGCUCUGCAUUUCGCUGACUACAGCAUCGUUUCGAGGUCUUCUACUGACAAGAUGUUUACUAGGCUGCAUAUUCAAGCACGGGAAGAUAUGAUACGGUAUCAUGUCACCCUGCUGCGAGUUUAUGGCCGUCGCUGGAUGAGGAACUGACUGCCGUCCCCAGGCUGUGUCCCCUAGUUCCU
Molecule: long non-coding RNA, 205 nt
Organism: Haliotis rubra (blacklip abalone)
Lineage: Eukaryota; Metazoa; Mollusca; Gastropoda; Lepetellida; Haliotidae
Exons: 3
Source: RefSeq, a predicted model, not a curated record